Coniella lustricola is the source of this 88-nucleotide non-coding RNA. The record is from the annotation of a GenBank genome assembly. NCBI's taxonomy places the organism in Eukaryota, Fungi, Ascomycota, Sordariomycetes, Diaporthales, Schizoparmaceae.
UCCGAUAUGGUGUAAUGGCUAACAUCCGACGCUCUCAUUCUUCUGAUUAGGGUCCGUCGAGCUCGGGGUUCGAUUCCCCGUAUCGGAG